AUACGGCCAUAUCGCGUUGAAACACCGGUUCUCAGCCGAUCACUGAAGUUCAGCAACAUUGAGACAUAUUAGUACCUAGAUGGGUAACUUCUUGGGAAUACUGUCUGAUGUAA
Non-coding RNA from Acanthosepion pharaonis, 113 nucleotides. NCBI's taxonomy places the organism in Eukaryota, Metazoa, Mollusca, Cephalopoda, Sepiida, Sepiidae. The record is from the annotation of a GenBank genome assembly.